UUUUCCUAGACCAGGACACUAAGAUGCAGCCCAUCGACAUUUGCCCGAGUCGCCACAUGGGAGCCACCAGAGCUGCUAGUCACCAGAGUUCCAUCUCCAUUAGCUGACCUUCAGUUUUGACCACCAUGCAGUUUCACGCUGUACAAACUUGUGCAAACCUCACUUGCAUGAACUGACCUUCCUGAUCAUGCUACUGCUGCUAUUAUAUACAAACUAUUUAAUGAAACAUUUAUCCACUUA
Long non-coding RNA from Pygocentrus nattereri (red-bellied piranha), 240 nucleotides. RefSeq lists it as uncharacterized. The transcript is spliced from 2 exons. Lineage: Eukaryota; Metazoa; Chordata; Actinopteri; Characiformes; Serrasalmidae. The record is from RefSeq and is a predicted model, not a curated record.